CAGCAGCCACGGGAAUACGAAGGGGGCUAGCGUUGCUCGGAAUGACUGGGCGUAAAGGGCGCGUAGGCGGUUUUGACAGUCAGAUGUGAAAUUCCUGGGCUUAACCUGGGGGCUGCAUUUGAGACGUCAAGACUAGAGUGUGAGAGAGGGUUGUGGAAUUCCCAGUGUAGAGGUGAAAUUCGUAGAUAUUGGGGAGAACACCGGUGGCGAAGGCGGCACCUGGCUCAUUACUGACGCUGAGGCGCGAAAGCGUGGGGAACAAACAGGAUUAGAUACCCCCGUAGUCCCUGUCUCUUAUACC
Molecule: ribosomal RNA, 301 nt
Filed under: uncultured bacterium
Lineage: Bacteria
Description: partial 16S ribosomal RNA
Rfam family: Bacterial small subunit ribosomal RNA
Source: RNAcentral